GACGUAGGAGGCGAGCGUUAUCCGGAUUCACUGGGCGUAAAGCGCAUGUAGGCGGUUGCACAAGUCCGUUGUUAAAGCCCCUGGCUCAACUGGGGGAGGUCAAUGGAGACUGUGCGACUUGAGGGCAAUAGAGGCACGUGGAACUCCCGGUGUAGCGGUGGAAUGCGUAGAGAUCGGGAAGAACACCAGUGGCGAAGGCGACGUGCUGGGUUGCACCUGACGCUAAAACGCGACAGCAUGGGGAGCGAACGGG
Molecule: ribosomal RNA, 253 nt
Filed under: uncultured bacterium
Lineage: Bacteria
Description: partial 16S ribosomal RNA
Rfam family: Bacterial small subunit ribosomal RNA
Source: RNAcentral